ACUUGCCAGCCCAAUCUGGUGCUCCCUUUAUGACUAACGUAACGUAAGAGUAUACAUAAAUAACUGCUUUGUGCUAUAUUUAGAGAGUCAUAUAUUGAAUAGAGACUUUAUCUAAUGGCACAUACCUUGCGUAAUAUUAAAUUCCUGUGCGUGGAUAUUACUUUAUUAAAAUUUAAGUGCUGAGUUAUUCAGUUUGACUUAGCAGUUCGUUGACGAAAGACGUGUGUGUCCACUGGGAACUCCAGCUCUGAGACCCUACGAGGCAGUACCGAAAAAUGUGAUUUCUCUUAAUUCUUGGUGAUCUACAACUUGGCCCAGUAGAUUUCACAAAACGUGUGUGACACGGUUCAAAUGGAUUUGGCAACACCUCAUCGAAACUGCGGUUUAACUCAACAAAUUUCUAAAAGUCUGAAUUAACAGCUAAGCGCCUGUUAUUUCUUUUUUUUCAAAUUCCGAUCUCCAGGACAUUGUAAAUAAACAUGAAUUAUAAUGCAUCCCUAAAAGUUUUUAAAUACGCUUGAGAGAUCGAGAAUGUUUGCGCUAACAAGAAAUCUACAAAAGUUUAAAAUAUUCUGAACAUUAUUUUAUUUCCUUCUUGCUAAGAAUGCACGUUUCUUAUUGAUUCUUAAAACCUUUGAAAUAACACUAAAUGAGCUUUGUUGAUAAACCUUUUUAA
This is a long non-coding RNA of Zeugodacus cucurbitae (melon fly), 676 nucleotides long. RefSeq lists it as uncharacterized. Lineage: Eukaryota; Metazoa; Arthropoda; Insecta; Diptera; Tephritidae. The record is from RefSeq and is a predicted model, not a curated record. The transcript is spliced from 2 exons.